GGAGUGUUGUGGAAUUUCAGCAGUACUGUUUUAAUUAGUCUGGUAACAUUCACACUGUAAUGGUGUGAGAUGCCUUUCUUCCAUUGGAACUGAACAAAAGGCUGCUUUAGUGUAGCUGUUUGAUGCUGUAAAGUGAGGAGAAGGAGGAGCUCCCUGAAACCCAACUCCUGCUGUGACUGCCUAGAGAGGCUUUGCAACCCAAGCCCUUUCCCUUUCUGUAAGACAAAUCUAGUUUUGUGUUGAAAUUAUGACACUUUAGGGAUAAUACCCCCUUGAUACCAGUUGCUUAUGCUGUGAUUGUUUGCCGUAUCUGUUCAGGGAAAUAAUAUAAGCCUUUCUCUCUAAUUUCUCUUACAACUUUAUUAUUAGUUGCAUGCCAGCUAUGGUGCAUGCUUCCAUCAGUAGGUUUAUAAGACUCGUUGACAGGAGCAAUUCCAUGUGUAGCAGGUCUGAACUUAAUAUAAAAAAGUAAGUAAUACAGUCUUAAUGAUUACAGUGUUAGAAGAAAUGCUUAAUACUGUUAAGUACAGGGAUGCUAGAAUUGAAAUCAUAACAUUUUAAGGCAAGUAAAGAAAGCUGCAUUAGAGAGUGUGAAGUGAAUUUAGGAUCUCUCCAGAAGGGAGUUGUGGAAGCUUGAAGUUUUAUGUCCUAAAUGUUGAAGCUCCUGAAGGAUCCAGUCCCUUUCCAGGCAGCACGAAUUGUUCCUGUAAGAUUUAAGUGGUAUAAUUUGUACUUUUUUAUAGCCAAUGAAAUUGUUGUAGAAAUAUCUUCCCCAAAAAAAGAAUCUGAUAGGUUUUCCACAGUAUUUAAUACCACCUCCAUUUUUUCAGACAAAGACCCAGCUGUCAGACACAUCCUUGUAUCCAGCAGUGCCAAGUCCUACUUGCUUUGUGCAGCAGUACUGCUCUUUACUAGUGCUGGUGAAGGGAGAGUGUCUCCGGAUUAUGUGGUUACAAAACUUGGAAGGCCAGGAAGUGGUCAUCAGUCAAAAUUUGCUUACCUGAGCAGACACAAAAAAUUAAUGGGCAAAAGUACAGUGUGUAGGUAGGUUGAGAUUGUCAGUGUGCUUAAGGUUCUUUGAGGAGAACCUUACUCUAAGGGAGUGGGAUUAGCUCUCAAAAUACAAGAAUUUGGUUUUUAAAAUAUUUAGUAGAUUCAGCAAUGAGGUGUUGAAGGAACUGGCUUUUAAGUAUAUUAAUGUGCUCCCUACCUUUUUGAGUUUUUAUUAAUAAGUGACAUGGAAUGUUGUGUAUAUUCGAGUGGUCAAGAGAAAUUUUAAAAAGUCUAUUUUAUAUGUACUUUAAAAUUUUCUGCAAAUGCUUUUCUUUAAGAUUUGUAAAGUGUUCCCAAAAGGGAUAGUCUUCCCAAUUUUGAGCAUUACUAAUUUAUAAAGUGGUUUGGCAGUGGUUUUUAUGGACUAGUGUUUUACUACAUUUAGUGUAUAGAAACAUACUGCAACAAUUGUUACACUUCAGUCUCAUUUACUGCAGUCUGUAAUCUUAACAAAAAUUAGUCAAGGUUCUGUGACUGUAAAUUUCCAGCAGCUCUACCACACAGUGAAUGGUUGAGUUCUGCAUUUUGGAAUAUGAAUAAGAAACAUGUUUUAUCUAUCCCCUUAAAAAAAAAACCAACCAAUAACCUUCAUAUAAACAGUCUGCUUUACACAUAAACAUUCUUUGGAAUCCCUAGUGUUCCUUCAGCUGAAAUGGCAAAGGCUAAAAAGAUCCAUGAAAAACACCCUUGGUUUUGCUCAUACAGAAAUAUUUGUUGUUAAUAAUGAUAUUAAAUACCUCGGGAUAGCAUUGCAUUUAAUUCAAUAAAAUCAUCUUUGAAGAUUAAAGGUUCA
This 1846-nucleotide long non-coding RNA is filed under the name Cyanistes caeruleus (blue tit). Its description in RNAcentral is "lncRNA (ENSCCEG00000010029.1)". Lineage: Eukaryota; Metazoa; Chordata; Aves; Passeriformes; Paridae. The record is from RNAcentral.